Molecule: ribosomal RNA, 498 nt
Filed under: uncultured bacterium
Lineage: Bacteria
Description: partial 16S ribosomal RNA
Rfam family: Bacterial small subunit ribosomal RNA
Source: RNAcentral
AUUGAACGCUGGCGGCAUGCCUUACACAUGCAAGUCGAACGGUAACAGGUCUUCGGAUGCUGACGAGUGGCGAACGGGUGAGUAAUGCAUCGGAACGUGCCCAGUUGUGGGGGAUAACUGCUCGAAAGAGCAGCUAAUACCGCAUACGACCUGAGGGUGAAAGCGGGGGAUCGCAAGACCUCGCGCAAUUGGAGCGGCCGAUGUCAGAGUAGGUAGUUGGUGGGGUAAAGGCCUACCAAGCCGACGAUCUGUAGUUGGUCUGAGAGGACGACCAGCCACACUGGGACUGAGACACGGCCCAGACUCCUACGGGAGGCAGCAGUGGGGAAUUUUGGACAAUGGGCGCAAGCCUGAUCCAGCAAUGCCGCGUGCAGGAAGAAGGCCUUCGGGUUGUAAACUGCUUUUGUCAGGGAAGAAAUCCUCUGGGUUAAUACCCCGGGGGGAUGACGGUACCUGAAGAAUAAGCACCGGCUAACUACGUGCCAGCCGCCGCAGUAA